UAGGGAAUUUUCGUCAAUGGGCGCAAGCCUGAACGAGCAAUGCCGCGUGAACGAGGAAGGUCUUCGGAUCGUAAAGUUCUGUGAAGGGGAAAAAGAGCGGAGAGAGGAAAUGCUUUCUGAUUGAUAUUACCCUUCGAGGAAGUCACGGCUAACUACGUGCC
Molecule: ribosomal RNA, 161 nt
Filed under: uncultured bacterium
Lineage: Bacteria
Description: partial 16S ribosomal RNA
Rfam family: Bacterial small subunit ribosomal RNA
Source: RNAcentral